RNAcentral lists this ribosomal RNA (414 nucleotides) under uncultured bacterium. RNAcentral's name for it is "bacterial SSU rRNA". It matches the Rfam family "Bacterial small subunit ribosomal RNA", at positions 355 to 787 of the family's 1533-position model. The record is from RNAcentral.
UAGGGAAUAUUGCACAAUGGGGAAGACCCUGAUGCAGCGACGCCGCGUGAAGGAAGAAGUAUCUCGGUAUGUAAACUUCUAUCAGCAGGGAAGACAAUGACGGUACCUGACUAAGAAGCCCCGGCUAACUACGUGCCAGCAGCCGCGGUAAUACGUAGGGGCAAGCGUUAUCCGGAUUUACUGGGUGUAAAGGGAGCGUAGACGGAUCUGCAAGUCUGGAGUGAAAGCCCGGGCUCAACCCGGCAGCUGCUUUGGAAAUCUGUGGAUCUAGAGUGCCGGAGAGGUAAGCGGAAUUCCUAGUGUAGCGGUGAAAUGCGUAGAUAUUAGGAGGAACACCAGUGGCGAAGGCGGCUUACUGGACGGUAACUGACGUCGAGGCUCGAAAGCGUGGGGAGCAAACAGGAUUAGAUACCC